GAUGAACGCCGGCGGCGUGCCUAAUACAUGCAAGUCGAGCGAACGGACGAGAAGCUUGCUUCUCUGAUGUUAGCGGCGGACGGGUGAGUAACACGUGGAUAACCUACCUAUAAGACUGGGAUAACUUCGGGAAACCGGAGCUAAUACCGGAUAAUAUUUUGAACCGCAUGGUUCAAAAGUGAAAGACGGUCUUGCUGUCACUUAUAGAUGGAUCCGCGCUGCAUUAGCUAGUUGGUAAGGUAACGGCUUACCAAGGCAACGAUGCAUAGCCGACCUGAGAGGGUGAUCGGCCACACUGGAACUGAGACACGGUCCAGACUCCCACGGGAGGCAGCAGUAGGGAAUCUUCCGCAAUGGGCGAAAGCCUGACGGAGCAACGCCGCGUGAGUGAUGAAGGUCUUCGGAUCGUAAAACUCUGUUAUUAGGGAAGAACAUAUGUGUAAGUAACUGUGCACAUCUUGACGGUACCUAAUCAGAAAGCCACGGCUAACUACGUG
Molecule: ribosomal RNA, 497 nt
Filed under: uncultured bacterium
Lineage: Bacteria
Description: partial 16S ribosomal RNA
Rfam family: Bacterial small subunit ribosomal RNA
Source: RNAcentral